UACGAAGGGGGCUAGCGUUGUUCGGAUUUACUGGGCGUAAAGCGCACGUAGGCGGAUCGAUCAGUCAGGGGUGAAAUCCCAGGGCUCAACCCUGGAACUGCCUUUGAUACUGUCGAUCUGGAGUAUGGAAGAGGUGAGUGGAAUUCCGAGUGUAGAGGUGAAAUUCGUAGAUAUCAGGAGGAACACCUGUGGCGAAAGCGGCUCACUGGACCAUAACUGACGCUGAUGCACGAAAGCUAGGGGAGCAAACAGG
RNAcentral lists this ribosomal RNA (253 nucleotides) under uncultured bacterium. RNAcentral describes it as "partial 16S ribosomal RNA". It matches the Rfam family "Bacterial small subunit ribosomal RNA", at positions 524 to 776 of the family's 1533-position model. The record is from RNAcentral.